CCCUUAUGUCCAGGGCUACACACGUGCUACAAUGGCCGGUACAAAGGGCAGCAAAGCCGCGAGGUGGAGCCAAAUCCCAGAAAGCCGGUCUCAGUUCGGAUUGGAGUCUGCAACUCGACUCCAUGAAGUUGGAAUCGCUAGUAAUCGCGGAUCAGCAUGCCGCGGUGAAUACGUUCCCGGGCCUU
This 185-nucleotide ribosomal RNA is filed under the name uncultured Desulfuromonas sp. Its description in RNAcentral is "partial 16S ribosomal RNA". It matches the Rfam family "Bacterial small subunit ribosomal RNA", at positions 1199 to 1382 of the family's 1533-position model. The record is from RNAcentral. Lineage: Bacteria; Pseudomonadati; Thermodesulfobacteriota; Desulfuromonadia; Desulfuromonadales; Desulfuromonadaceae.